This is a long non-coding RNA of Camelus dromedarius (Arabian camel), 7432 nucleotides long. RefSeq lists it as uncharacterized. Lineage: Eukaryota; Metazoa; Chordata; Mammalia; Artiodactyla; Camelidae. The transcript has 14 exons. The record is from RefSeq and is a predicted model, not a curated record.
UGCCGCCGCCGCCCAGGGCGGAGCGGGGCGCGAGGUGCGGGGAGACGGCUGCAGGGGCUCCCGCCGGCCCGGCAGCAGCGCCGCGGCCGCGCGAGGCGUUUGGUGUCGGCUGCGGGCCGUCCCGCCAGGGCCCUCUGACGUGCUGCGUGUGCACAGGUGGCUGCGCGGUGCCCGUCAGUGCGCCGCCCGUGGCGGGGUCUGUGUUCGGGGACGGGUGUGUUUGUGGCUGCAGUUGCCGCAGUUCGUCCCGGCCCUCCAGACCUCCCCAGCCCCACUCUCGGCCUCGUGUUCCUGGCACGACCGCUGCUUCUGCCCCGGAUGCUUCCUCUGGGCUCCGCCCCCAGCACGUCCACGUCACGCCUGCUGCCUUAGUCCUGCAGAAAUCCUGCGCUUUGGAUUUGUGUCACCUUCUGUAAGUUGAAAGCUUCUGGACCAAGUGCGGCAGUGAGAUGGAGUCAGAAGAGGAGGUAUUGCCAUCAGAGAGUCAGCAAAGGUGGUUGACCAUGCCCAAAGGAGGGUGCUGAGGGGAGUUGAUGACCUGGACUUUUUCAUAGGGGAUGAAGCCAUAGAUAAACCCACGUAUGCCACAAAGGUAAACUCCCCACCGGGAUUUGCUUCUUGGCCAAUAAGACAUGGAAUAAUUGAAGACUGAGAUCUAAUGGAGAGGUUCAUGGAACAAGUUAUUUUUAAUUUUCCCUGAGCUGAACCUGAGGGCCAUCACUUUUUGAUGAAACCUUCCUAGCAGAUUUGCCCUGUCUGUCCGUGCCCAGUGUGGGCCCUAGAGGGGAACAAAAUUACUUUGGUACAUUUUGAUGAGUCAAGAUUCUCUCCUGUUGCUGGUGAGGGGACCACAUCUCAUCACCUGGCCCCAAGAGACAGAACCUCCUCUGAAUACACCAGAAAAUAGAGAAUAUCUUGCAGAAAUUAUGUUCAAAUUAUUUAAUGUACCAGGACUCUACUUUGCAGUUCAGGACGUUGCAGAGAUGAUGUACUAAUGCUGGUGCUUUAAUACCUCAAAGUUCAGAAAUCACUGCAGGGGGAGGCUGAUGUGUCUACAGUCAGGAGGAAAAAGCCAAAUCUUUCCCCUCUGUCAUUGCACCCUGCCAGUGUCCCCUUUGCCCGGGGGUGAGAAGAGGCAGGAGGCCUGCAGAGCAUGCUCUGUGCUCGCAGCCCCUUCAUCCAGUCUCAGAACACUGCCCCCUCCUGGGUGUGAGGUGUUUAGGUGCCACUUGCUGUGUGGUCCUGCCUGGCUCCUCUCUGAGGUCAAGUCCUCAGAGGUCAGUGCAGGCCAAGGUCAGGGUCUGUGCCUGUGGGUCUGCUUCCUGGCCUCCCCUGUGCAUCUGAAACAAGUUUCACACUACGUGCAGGCCCACAGAGAAAGUUGUUGUUCAAAUUUUUCUCUGUUUCUUAAUGCAGUUUUUUUCCCCCUAUUUAUAAAAAUUUCAUUUACUGUACAAAAUUUAGGUAAAAUGGAGAAAUGUAAAGAAGAAAAUAGAAUGACCCACAAACCUGCCCAGAGGACUGUGCCACACUUUUUUGGUAUAGUCUACUGAGCUCUUUUUCUUAGACACACGAUACACAUUUUAAGCACAGUUGGGAUACCCUCCAUCUGAUUUCAUGUUCUAAUUGUACAAUGUGCUCCUGAGGUUGUAUUUUGCAUAUUGACUUAUCCCUGAUGUAUCUUUAUGGUUAAAUACUCUGUGGAAAGAUAUUUAGUAACUACCUGACAGCCCAUCAUGUGGGUGUAGCACAACUCACUUACUUGUUUUCCUACCAUUGGCUGUGGGUUGUUUUAAUAUAUUUAAUCUGUGAUGAAGCUGAUACUCAACAUGGGUUGAAUUAAUUUUAGAAAAUGUUAUAUGUAAUGUAUUGAGUAUAGAAAUUGUGAAUAGUUUCUGUUUGCGAGAGCUACUGUUCUUAUGACUUUUUUAUUUUAAUAAUGUGUACAUAUCUUUUAUCUUGAUCUUAAAUAUUUUACAAUUGGCUUGGGCUCCUGAGAAAGGCUACACACUCUCUCACUUCUAGAAGUUGGGCACCUCAGAAGACAUAAGAGGAAUUCAGUCACCUGUUCUUGUAACUUCAGUGGUAACUGUGCUUGUACAUAGUGGAACUGAUCCAUCUGUCAGAUGGAUGAGGAUUUGCUCCAGCCUUCUGUCUCCAUGAGUGUGUGACAAGCAACCAGUGCCAUCAGGGAGCUCAGAGUGCCUCCUCUACCUGGUGCAGGUGGAAGGUUAGGUAAUUGGAAGCUGCAUCAAACACAUCCCUAUUGCAGGUAGAGAUAUGAAUUUCAUUCAACAGCUGCCAAGGGAGAGGGAGGUGGGAAUCCCUCCUGAGCAACCACUGGAGACCGCAAAAGCCAUUAAGGAGAAGUACUGUCACAUUUGCCCCAAUAUAGUCAAGAAGUUUGCCAAGUAUGACGUGGAUCAGCGGAAGUGGAUCAAACAGCAAACAGGGAACAAUGCCAUAAGCCAGAAGAAAAUCAUUAUCGAUGUUGGCUAGGAAAGUUUCCCAGGUCCUGAAAUUUUCCUUCACCCAGAGAAACACCAGUGGAAACAAAUCUAAAGAUGUCAUGCACUAGGGCCUGCUGUAAUGAUCCUUCAGUCCCCCAGCUGGGUCCUCAGUGAAGUACCAGAUACUGAUUAACAUGCCAAGUAUAAUGCCUGGCCCAGGAAGCUCAGGAGAUGAAUCAAAUAACUUGACCAUGAAGGAGCACUGAGGAGGAGGCAGAGAUGAUCUCUGGCAUGGGAUGUGAACCGCCCACAUUUCAGCUGAGUAUUGUCUGGAAUAAGGACAACAUUCCCCAGUCUCUAUUCCAGCUUAGUGAGGUCACAAUACUAAAUUCUGGUCAAUGAAAUGUAACAGGAAGUGUAUGACAGCCUCUGGGAAAUUUCCUUAAGAGACCAAAGAUGCUUGCAUUCCUCUGUCUCCUUCCUUUCCUUCCUUCCUCCUUUCUACAUUGCAUGUGAUGGGUAAAGCUCCAUCUAGGGCCAUGAGAUUGAGGGCCUCAUCUGAUGUUUAGCAAACCUAAAAGGUGGAACCAGCCUAAGCCUCAGGAGAUUUGUGAAAUCAUAAUACCAGUUCUGGAUUGUCUCUCUAGAAAUUUUUUUAAUGUGAAAGAGAAACAAACAUCACUUUGUUUAUGCCACUGUUCUUUGCAGUCUCUGUAACUGGCAGCUAAUUUUAACUAAUCCAGAAACUUAUCCAAAGUGAUCAUGUAAAGUUCAAACCCAGGCCCACCAGUCUGCAAAAUCCACACUCUUAGGCAGAAGCCUGAAGAACUCCUGCUUAUAAUCUGCAAAAGAUUGGUGGUGGGGUAAGAGUGUGUGUGUGUGUAAAACUGCUGACAAGAAUUUGACAGAAGGAAAGAAGGAAAGUUUGAAUAUGCUCGCAAUUCUGCAUACCUAAGAGACAAUCAAAGGGAAUAUGCUACUGGACAGUAAAGAAUGUAGUCUCCAUCAGAGGUGGACAGAGAAAGAUCUGUCACCUGCAUGGAUCUGGAAAGAGAAGCUGUGUCUCUGAAAGAUGCUGCUGUAUUUUAUUUCCCAUCUAUAUUUUAUAAAUUUCCUAUAUAUAUUUAUUAUUCUGUUCAUAGAAAAUUCUAAAAGACUCAGUCACUAUUUCCACAGCCAAAUUUGUCAAAGUGUAAAAUUGUGUUUAGAAGUCUCAUCAUAAUUAUUAAGCACUCAUUCUGUGCCCAUCAGUAUGCUAGAUAUCAAGCACAAUAUCAAAAAAGCAUCAAUAUUGGUUUCUGACCUCAAGCAGCUCAGAACUUAGGUGAACACAUAGAAAACAACCAAGUACUACUUACAUGAAGAGAUGGAUCAGUGCAGGUGAUAAUAAUCAGAAAGAGACUCAUGAAAGAGAAGUAAAAUUUAGAAAGACCUAAAUUCUAUAUGUUUGCCUUAUCUGCCCCAAAUAUUGUCUUAAAAUGACCAAUCCACCCUCAGGGCUCAGUCAAUCUCUUUCUGGUAACCUGAGAAAAUCCAGAAGAAAAAGACAUAGAAAUACUCUGUUUUUUACAGCAUCCCAUUGGUUUGGGGCAAUAUCUAGUGGUAGGCUCCUCACAUUCAUAUGAUAAAGGAGAUGACUGUGAGCAGCAAUGUGGCUGGUUCCUCUGCCCAAUGGCACAAGCAGAGUCACAAAUAACAGAAAUGAAAGGAUCACUACAAAUUGUGUUAUUGAACUGCAUGACCUACAUGGAGCAAUCAACUCACUCCUAGGUUUGGCAGGGCCUUUCUGAGUUGAUUCCCUGAAAAACAAAACAAAACAAUAAAACCCAAACCAAACCAAAAAAUAAAAAAAAAUAUUUAAAAAAGAGAGACUCUGAGUGUCAACAUCUCUGCUCCAUGUGGCUGCCUUGAUAAGAGUUCAGAUUUCUCUGUGUCAUGAGAAAAUUUUUAUGAUUAAUGGAAGACAGAAUAUUAUCCAAUAUUAACAGUUAUUUUCCAAUUCUGUAUUAUAAAAUUAUUUCUGAUAAUGAAAAAUUCUCUAUUUCUUUAAAUUAAUUAAAACAUUGAAAGUCUACAGUGUAUAAAAGAAAGCACUGGAAUUCUGGAGAGGUGAGGCAGAAUACGAAGGUAAACAGGAAUCAUUAUUCCUUUUCUCAGAGGUAUGUAAUCUACAGGGGAAGCAUGCAGCACCUGAAAGGGGAGGAGAGGUUGGUGGGCCACGCAGGGUUGAAGGAGGAGCAUAGGAACAUGGGUCUGGGAAAGUUUGGCUAGCUUUACAGUGCUCAAUUGAAAUACUACUUUGCAAUAUUUUCUCAACACCAGGGUUCAAGUUUGUUAGUCCUACUGAGACAUCAGGUCAGAAGAAAAGAACAAAAGUGAGAAGGCAUUUAUGGCUUUGCAUUCUCAGAAAGUCAUCCUGCUGGUUCAGCUGUAGUUUUAACGUGAGCUCUCCUCGGGCCUGGGAGAAAUUCUGAGAAUGACCCCUGAGAAUGAGCUCAGUGGUGAGAAGUCCAAGGACAGGAUGAGGUCGACAUUGCAAGUGUUUUUGGAAUAAGAAUCAACACACUUAAAGACUGGGAUUUGGAAGUGAGAAGGAGUACAUGGAAGUGAUUCAGGAAGACAAGGAAAUGAGACACAAGUGGCAACAUUUGUCAAAGUUCUAUGCAUUUGUUCCUUUGGAUUCAAGUGAAACAUCUGGAGUCAAUUCUUAACCCAAUGUUGGUUUGUUCUCACCAACCUCUUUGCCCUGCUAUUGGAAAAUAUAUUACAUUUCUGUAUGUUAUAUGCCCACAAAUACAAUUAAAUGUAUACUGCUUUAUGAUUUUUAAACAAGAUAAGAAAGGAUAAGAAAUAGGCAAUUAUACUCCUUUAUAAUUGCAUAAUUACCUUUAUCAGUGUUCUUUGUUUUGUGUGUGUGUGUAUUCAAAUUACUGUCUUGGGUCACUUGCUUUCAGCCUGAAGAACUAACUUUAGUAUGUCUUGUAAGGUAGGUCUACUGGCAGCAGAUUCCUUCAGAUUUUGUUUUCCAAAUGUCUUUUUAUUUCAUCUUCAUUUUUAAAUGAUAAUUUUGCUGGAUAUAUGAUUCUUGAUUAAGAACUUUUAAAAUUUGAGGGCUGAGAAUAGGUUAUCCUAUUGCCUUCAGCCCUCUAUUGUUUCUGAUGAUAAGUCAACUGUUAAUCUUAUAGGAGUUUCCUUAAGCAAGAUGUCAUUUUCCUCUUGCUGCCUUCAAGAUUUUCUUUGGCAUUUUUACUAUGUGUCUAUUCAUGGGUCUUUUUGAGUUUAUCCUACUUGCAGUUUGUUGAACUUCCUGGAUAUGUAGAUUUAAAUUUUUUAGGAAAUGGGAAUUUUUUAGCCACUAAUUUUUCAAAUAUUUUUCUGCUCCUUUCCUUCUCUGUUCUUCUGGUGCUGCUUUAAGUGUCUGUUGGUAUACAUUAGUGUCCCACAUUUCUCUGAGACUUUGCUCAUUUUUUCUUCAUUCUUUUUUCACUCUGUUCUUGGAUUGCAUAAUUUCUAUUGAUCUAUUCUUAAGUACUUUUACUUUCUGCCCAUUUAAGUGUAUUAUUGAUUCCAUCUAGUGAAUUUUUAAAUUUCAGUUAUUGCUCCUUUCAGUUCCAAAAUUCCCAUUUGGUUAUUUUUAAUAAUUUCUGUCUCUUUAUUAAUGUUCUCUAUGUGAUGUGACACUGUCAUCAUGCUUUACUUCUAAAAUCAUGGUUUUCUUUGUUUCUUUGAACAUAUUUAUAAUGUCUUCUUUUCUCACAUCUGGUCUCUCCUGCAGGUGGCUUUAUUGCCUGCUAUUCUUCUGGUAUCUAGGCCAUAAUUUCCUGCUUAUUUUGCAUGUCUCAUAUUUUUUGGAAAAUGAACAUUUUAGAUAUUGCAGCAACUUUGGGUACUGGCUUCAUCUCUCCCCUCUUUCAGUGCUUGUCAUUGUUGUUAGCUUGUUUACUUGUUUAAAGACUAACUGGAUUAUUGUAGUGUUGUCCAUUCCCUUCUCUUCCUCCUCUAUCCCCUAAACAGACACAGGGUAAAGCCUCUGAUGUUUUUCCUCAGGGAUUCAUCCUUGGACAUGCCCAGCCACUUUGGGAUAACAAGGUUUUAGCAGGACUUAGGCAGUGUUUGUCUAGUUACCUGACCACACUAACCUAUGAAACUCCACUAACUGCUGGUUAAAAGCUCUAUUGUUCAUAACAAUGCCCUGGAGAAUAAAUUAUUUACACCCUAAUCCAGUCAAAUUCAGGCUGCUAUGAAGGGACAGUUCCUGAUGGUCAAAUUUUGAAAUUUAUUCAGACUCUAGUUCUUGCAGCUGGUUUCUUAUUUUUCUCCAGCAACUAGUUGGCUUAUCAUUUAGCCUGUAUCUUCAAGCAUUUUAUCAGUCUCCUCCCCAUUGCCUCUCACCAACACUUCUACUGUUUUUGAAAGCACACUUAGAUUUGAACUUCAUAUGCUGUUGCAAAUAAAGUUGGCUCCUUUGGGGAGAUAAUUUGAACUCUCUGUUCUAUGGUCUGCCUUUCCUCCCAGGGAAAAUCUCUGAGCCACAACUCUGGUGCUGGAGUAAGGAACAAUAGGUCAAUUCUAAGUGACAGCCCAGUUUGAAGAAGUAAGUGCUCAGUGGAUAUAUGGGCAAGAGCCCCAGGUGUCCUUGGCUUGUCUCCCUUGGCACAAGCCCCUGUCCUAUGAGCUGAGUCAAUAGCAAUUGGGAUCUCAAUGUCCUACCAUGCCCAAGGUAGAACCUUUGUCUCAUGAGAGGAAACGUGGUGGAAGAAUGGGGCCCCCACCUGUUGGCUGCAGUAGUACAGAACUUUGCCUCAGCAACAAGUAUCUAGGGGCAGUAUGAGAAAUGCUAAUGUCAUGUCCUUCCCAGGAAGACAACCCUCCAACCAGGACCUGGGGGGAGUCAAAAACUUGUGUUCUUGGUUGUACAAGUCUGGGUGGAGUUCCCAGCUCAAUGAGUGGAGAUGGGAAAAGUGCAGAUCUUUAAAUACUAA